GAUGAACGCUGGUGGCGUGCCUAAUACAUGCAAGUCGAGCGAACAGACGAGGAGCUUGCUCCUCUGACGUUAGCGGCGGACGGGUGAGUAACACGUGGAUAACCUACCUAUAAGACUGGGAUAACUUCGGGAAACCGGAGCUAAUACCGGAUAAUAUAUUGAACCGCAUGGUUCAAUAGUGAAAGACGGUUUUGCUGUCACUUAUAGAUGGAUCCGCGCCGCAUUAGCUAGUUGGUAAGGUAACGGCUUACCAAGGCAACGAUGCGUAGCCGACCUGAGAGGGUGAUCGGCCACACUGGAACUGAGACACGGUCCAGACUCCUACGGGAGGCAGCAGUAGGGAAUCUUCCGCAAUGGGCGAAAGCCUGACGGAGCAACGCCGCGUGAAUGAUGAAGGUCUUCGGAUCGUAAAACUCUGUUAUUAGGGAAGAACAAAUGUGUAAGUAACUAUGCACGUCUUGACGGUACCUAAUCAGAAAGCCACGGCUAACUACGU
This 496-nucleotide ribosomal RNA is filed under the name uncultured bacterium. RNAcentral's name for it is "partial 16S ribosomal RNA". It matches the Rfam family "Bacterial small subunit ribosomal RNA", at positions 28 to 506 of the family's 1533-position model. The record is from RNAcentral.